CAGGCCUAACACAUGCAAGUCGAACGGUAAGCUUCUUCGGAAGUGGACAGUGGCAGACGGGUGAGUAACGCGUGGGGAUCUGCCCAGAGGUUCGGGACAACCAUUGGAAACGAUGGCUAAUACCGGAUAAGCCCGCAAGGGGAAAGAUUUAUUGCCUUUGGAUGAACCCGCGUAGGAUUAGCUAGUUGGUGAGGUAAUGGCUCACCAAGGCUACGAUCUUUAGCUGGUCUGAGAGGAUGAUCAGCCACAUUGGGACUGAGACACGGCCCAGACUCCUACGGGAGGCAGCAGUGGGGAAUAUUGCGCAAUGGGGGAAACCCUGACGCAGCCAUGCCGCGUGAGUGACGAAGGCCUUAGGGUUGUAAAGCUCUUUCGCUAGGGAAGAUAAUGACGGUACCUAGUAAAGAAGCCCCGGCUAACUCCGUGCCAGCAGCCGCGGUAAUACGGAGGGGGCUAGCGUUGUUCGGAAUCACUGGGCGUAAAGCGCGCGUAGGCGGAUUGAUUAGUUGGGGGUGAAAUCCCGGAGCUCAACUCCGGAACUGCCUUCAAUACUGUCAGUCUUGAGGUCGAGAGAGGUAAGUGGAAUUCCGAGUGUAGAGGUGAAAUUCGUAGAUAUUCGGAAGAACACCAGUGGCGAAGGCGACUUACU
This 649-nucleotide ribosomal RNA is filed under the name uncultured bacterium. RNAcentral describes it as "bacterial SSU rRNA". It matches the Rfam family "Bacterial small subunit ribosomal RNA", at positions 43 to 730 of the family's 1533-position model. The record is from RNAcentral.